RNA transcript from Camelina sativa (false flax), 975 nucleotides. It is a transcript of the gene named F-box protein At1g11810-like, with no coding region annotated. The record is from RefSeq and is a predicted model, not a curated record. Lineage: Eukaryota; Viridiplantae; Streptophyta; Magnoliopsida; Brassicales; Brassicaceae.
UGGAUACUUUAAAGACUCUGUGAAUGUUGGAGUUGCUCUGCCUCGAUACUUCACUUCUUAUGUUCCAAGCUUAGUCUCACUGAAACACAACAAGCCGAGCAAAAGGAAACAAAGAGAUAAUUAGAUAGUCUCAUUUGCAAUAUGAGUUUCAUGUAGCAUCUAUAUCUCCUUUUGUUAUCAGUCAUAUGUACUUUCAUCUCUUUUUGAACACGAUUUGUAAAGAAUAUUUCUUUUGCAACAGCCUUUUGCAAUCUAUCUUCUUUCUAAUUUCUGCAUCAUUACAUACUUGUUCUUGUGAGUAUUCAAUAAGCUGGUGAAAGGUUGUGAUUAUUCAGAUAGAUAAACCAAAACAAACAUAAAGAAGCUAGCUAACUAGCUACUUCCACAAUGAACAAAAGGAAACUGCCUCUCCUUUCCAUGUUAACCCAGCAAAGGUGUCUCCAUCUUCCAUUCUUAUUUCCCAAUUUUUGUCAUAUUUUCUCAGUAAAGAUUUGGCUCCAUCAAUUGCAUCUUCACCAAAUGCUUCUGCGGCAAAACCAGCUUCUCUCAUCCUCUCAUACCAUUUAUCUUUUCCUUCAUCCAUCUCUUCAAUUAGCUUCCUCUCUUCGCUAUUCUCUUCUUUGAAUCCUGAGCUUGUUGAAUCCAGAAACUUCCACAGAUACUCAAGUUUCCUGGAGAACGCUGCUGCAAAGUCCCCACUGGGAGGCUAUACUUCAGGUGAUGCAGCCUAAACUGAGCACAGAUGAUCAAGGUCUCGUGAGGUGAAGUAUCAGUGAGUUGGAACUUGUCAAUUACACUAAUCUGGAGGUUGAUCUUAAGAGACCGAGCAAAGCCAAGGAGUUGAGAAUCAUAACUGUAAGCUGACGGGAUAAACCACUAACAAAGUGGUAUUUUAAAUCUUUAAACAUCUGAUAAUGGAUAGCGAGAUUAGAGUGUAGUCACUGUACUAAUAAUAAUCCCACUUGGUUAACUGAA